RNAcentral lists this ribosomal RNA (118 nucleotides) under Pteropus alecto (black flying fox). The record is from RNAcentral. Lineage: Eukaryota; Metazoa; Chordata; Mammalia; Chiroptera; Pteropodidae.
GUCUACGGCCAUGCUACCCUGAACAAGCCUGAUCCCGUCUGAUCUCGGAAGCUAAGAGGGUCGGGCCUGGUUAGUACUAGGAUGGGAGACCACCUUGGAAGAGCAAGUGUUGUAGGAG